ACGGAAGGCAGCAGUGGGGAAUAUUGCACAAUGGGGGAAACCCUGAUGCAGCGACGCCGCGUGAGUGAAGAAGUAUUUCGGUAUGUAAAGCUCUAUCAGCAGGGAAGAAAAUGACGGUACCUGACUAAGAAGCCCCGGCUAACUACGUGCCAGCAGCCGCGGUAAUACGUAGGGGGCAAGCGUUAUCCGGAUUUACUGGGUGUAAAGGGAGCGUAGACGGCAAGGCAAGUCUGAUGUGAAAGGUGGGGGCUCAACCCCCAAACUGCAUUGGAAACUGUCUGGCUCGAGUGCCGGAGAGGUAAGCGGAAUUCCUAGUGUAGCGGUGAAAUGCGUAGAUAUUAGGAGGAACACCAGUGGCGAAGGCGGCUUACUGGACUGUAACUGACGUUGAGGCUCGAAAGCGUGGGGAGCAAACAGGAUUAGAUACCCUGGUA
Molecule: ribosomal RNA, 434 nt
Filed under: uncultured Lachnospiraceae bacterium
Lineage: Bacteria; Bacillati; Bacillota; Clostridia; Lachnospirales; Lachnospiraceae
Description: bacterial SSU rRNA
Rfam family: Bacterial small subunit ribosomal RNA
Source: RNAcentral